GCUGGCGGCGUGCCUAAUACAUGCAAGUCGAGCGAACAGACAAGGAGCUUGCUCCUUUGACGUUAGCGGCGGACGGGUGAGUAACACGUGGGUAACCUACCUAUAAGACUGGGAUAACUUCGGGAAACCGGAGCUAAUACCGGAUAAUAUUUCGAACCGCAUGGUUCGAUAGUGAAAGAUGGUUUUGCUAUCACUUAUAGAUGGACCCGCGGCGUAUUAGCUAGUUGGUAAGGUAACGGCUUACCAAGGCGACGAUACGUAGCCGACCUGAGAGGGUGAUCGGCCACACUGGAACUGAGACACGGUCCAGACUCCUACGGGAGGCAGCAGUAGGGAAUCUUCCGCAAUGGGCGAAAGCCUGACGGAGCAACGCCGCGUGAGUGAUGAAGGUCUUCGGAUCGUAAAACUCUGUUAUUAGGGAAGAACAUACGUGUAAGUAACUGUGCACGUCUUGACGGUACCUAAUCAGAAAGCCACGGCUAACUACGUGCCAGCAGCCGCGGUAAUACGUAGGUGGCAAGCGUUAUCCGGAAUUAUUGGGCGUAAAGCGCGCGUAGGCGGUUUUUUAAGUCUGAUGUGAAAGCCCACGGCUCAACCGUGGAGGGUCAUUGGAAACUGGAAAACUUGAGUGCAGAAGAGGAAAGUGGAAUUCCAUGUGUAGCGGUGAAAUGCGCAGAGAUAUGGAGGAACACCAGUGGCGAAGGCGACUUUCUGGUCUGUAACUGACGCUGAUGUGCGAAAGCGU
Molecule: ribosomal RNA, 745 nt
Filed under: uncultured bacterium
Lineage: Bacteria
Description: bacterial SSU rRNA
Rfam family: Bacterial small subunit ribosomal RNA
Source: RNAcentral